This 301-nucleotide ribosomal RNA is filed under the name uncultured bacterium. RNAcentral's name for it is "partial 16S ribosomal RNA". It matches the Rfam family "Bacterial small subunit ribosomal RNA", at positions 509 to 809 of the family's 1533-position model. The record is from RNAcentral.
CAGUCGCCGCGGUAAUACGAAGGGUGCAAGCGUUAAUCGGAAUUACUGGGCGUAAAGCGUGCGUAGGCGGUGAGUUAAGUCUGCUGUGAAAUCCCCGGGCUCAACCUGGGAAUGGCAGUGGAUACUGGCUCGCUAGAGUGUGUCAGAGGAUGGUGGAAUUCCCGGUGUAGCGGUGAAAUGCGUAGAGAUCGGAAGGAACACCAGUGGCGAAAGCGGCUCACUGGACCAUAACUGACGCUGAGGCACGAAAGCUAGGGGAGCAAACAGGAUUAGAUACCCCUGUAUCCCUGUCUCUUAUACA